UAGGGAAUUUUCGGUCAAUGGGGGGAACCCUGACCGAGCAACGCCGCGUGAGGGAGGAAGUAUUUCGGUAUGUAAACCUCUGUUAUAAAGGAAGAACGAUGCAUGUAGGGAAUGACAUGCAAGUGACGGUACUUUAUGAGGAAGCCACGGCUAACUACGUGCC
Molecule: ribosomal RNA, 163 nt
Filed under: uncultured bacterium
Lineage: Bacteria
Description: partial 16S ribosomal RNA
Rfam family: Bacterial small subunit ribosomal RNA
Source: RNAcentral